CCUACGGGAGGCAGCAGUGAGGAAUAUUGGUCAAUGGGCGUAAGCCUGAACCAGCCAAGUCGCGUGAGGGAUGAAGGUUCUAUGGAUUGUAAACCUCUUUUAUAAGGGAAUAAAGUGUGGGACGUGUCCUAUUUUGUAUGUACCUUAUGAAUAAGGAUCGGCUAACUCCGUGCCAGCAGCCGCGGUAAUACGGAGGAUCCGAGCGUUAUCCGGAUUUAUUGGGUUUAAAGGGAGCGUAGGCGGCUUGUUAAGUCAGCUGUGAAAGUCUGUGGCUCAACCAUAAAAUUGCCGUUGAAACUGGGAGUCUUGAGUAUGUUAGAGGCAGGCGGAAUGCGUGGUGUAGCGGUGAAAUGCUUAGAUAUCACGCAGAACCCCGAUUGCGAAGGCAGUCUACCAAGCCAUGACUGACGCUGAUGCACGAAAGCGUGGGGAUCAAACAGGAUUAGAUACCCUAGUAGUC
This 460-nucleotide ribosomal RNA is filed under the name uncultured bacterium. RNAcentral's name for it is "partial 16S ribosomal RNA". It matches the Rfam family "Bacterial small subunit ribosomal RNA", at positions 338 to 795 of the family's 1533-position model. The record is from RNAcentral.